UCUUUCAAAGACAACUAGAUCCCCUCUCUCUCUCUCUCUCUCUCUCUCUCUCUCUCCUACACACACACACACACACUACUACGUACGACGUACGUACGUACUACUACUCUCUCCUCUUCUCUCUACUACUCUACGUACUACUACUACUACGUAACUAACGUAAGUAAGUAANNNNNNNNNNNNNNNNNNNNAGUACUACUUCUAAUAACUUAAACUAAGUAAUUACUUUCUUACUUACUUAAGUAAGUAUACUUAGUUACGUACCUUACUUACUAACGAACAACUAGUACCCUCCUCUCUCUCUCUCUCUCUCUCUCUCUCUCUCUCACACACACACACACACACUCUUAGAGAGAGUCACGAUCUCUCUCUCGUUCUCUCCUCUUAAUGAGUAGCCUCCAUUAAAUUAAAGAAAAUGAGGAUCUUUAAAAUCAAAAAGAGAGAGUUGAUGUAUUUUGAAGAAAGAAGGGAGACGUUUAGCCUAGUCAGAGAUCAACUCUUAAGCUCAGCCAUAUUUUCUUCUCAUAGGACUUCUAUAAAUCUUAGUAUAUUUUUGAGCUCUCGAAAAUCUUAGAGAGAGAAGUAUUGCCUAUAAAGCUUCUCUAUCUCAAAAUUUUCAGCAACACCUUAAGGAGCAAAAGUGUAUCAUUAAUCAGGAAAUUGGGUGUGGGGUGUACCAAGUCUUAGUAAGGUCACUCCAGGCAUCUUCGAGUAAGUUUUUUUAGUAGUUUUAAGUUAAUUUACAAUUUUAUUUUCGAUUUUAUGUAAAUUUUGAGGAACUUAUUUUAUGCCAAAAAUUA
Molecule: long non-coding RNA, 800 nt
Filed under: Amborella trichopoda
Lineage: Eukaryota; Viridiplantae; Streptophyta; Magnoliopsida; Amborellales; Amborellaceae
Description: long non-coding RNA (ATRI_LNC002906)
Source: RNAcentral